UGGGGAAUAUUGGACAAUGGGCGAAAGCCUGAUCCAGCCAUGCCGCGUGUGUGAAGAAGGUCUUCGGAUUGUAAAGCACUUUAAGUUGGGAGGAAGGGCAGUAAGCGAAUACCUUGCUGUUUUGACGUUACCGACAGAGUAAGCACCGGCUAACUCUGUGCCAGCAGCCGCGGUAAUACAGAGGGUGCAAGCGUUAAUCGGAAUUACUGGGCGUAAAGCGCGCGUAGGUGGUUCGUUAAGUUGAAUGUGAAAGCCCCGGGCUCAACCUGGGAACUGCAUCCAAAACUGGCGGGCUAGAGUAGGGCAGAGGGUGGUGGAAUUUCCUGUGUAGCGGUGAAAUGCGUAGAUAUAGGAAGGGACACCAGUGGCGAAGGCGACCACCUGGGCUCAUACUGACCCUGAGGUGAGGAAGCGUGGGGAGCAAACAGG
RNAcentral lists this ribosomal RNA (429 nucleotides) under Pseudomonadota bacterium. RNAcentral describes it as "Proteobacteria bacterium partial 16S ribosomal RNA". It matches the Rfam family "Bacterial small subunit ribosomal RNA", at positions 355 to 776 of the family's 1533-position model. Lineage: Bacteria; Pseudomonadati; Pseudomonadota. The record is from RNAcentral.